UACGUAGGGGGCAAGCGUUGUCCGGAAUCAUUGGGCGUAAAGCGCGUGUAGGCGGCUUCGUAAGUCCGUUGUGAAAGUCCAGGGCUCAACCCUGGAAUGCCGAUGGAUACUGCGGAGCUAGAGUCCGGAAGAGGCGAGUGGAAUUCCUGGUGUAGCGGUGAAAUGCGCAGAUAUCAGGAGGAACACCAGUGGCGAAGGCGACUACCUGGCCUGUUCUUGACGCUGAGGCGCGAAAGCUAGGGGAGCAAACGGG
Molecule: ribosomal RNA, 253 nt
Filed under: uncultured bacterium
Lineage: Bacteria
Description: partial 16S ribosomal RNA
Rfam family: Bacterial small subunit ribosomal RNA
Source: RNAcentral